GAAAAUGCUUGUAAGCUGUUGCUUAGAAUUUAGUACAAUUGCUUCUUGAAGUAUUUAUCUGCUGUGUGCUCCUCACAAGCCAUUUCUGGGGCUGAGUUCUGUGCUCACAGAACUACCCCGGAAGGUAAUGUUUAACAGGGUGGUUUAUGGCUUACUGCACGCAAUUAUCUCCCUCUGUAUUCUUGGGCUCAAUUCUUUCUUUUACUCGAUGGUGGGGACUUCCAGGUGCUUUCACAGAAGCACAGAAGAAUGAGAUAAUAUUUGAGAAGUAUUAAUGGCAAUCUGUUUUCUUACACUGGGAGAGAAAUGCUGCUUUUAAGUAAAAGGCUAGAAAGCAGGUCAGUGUGUGUGUGUUGGGGGCAGAUAUUGCCCUUGCUGUUGAUUUACAUGAAAUAGGAUGCAGCUUAUUUCUAGAAGCAAAUUUCAGUUAAAAUGUAUUUAUUAUACAAUGAGUUAAUAGGUGUUUCAAAAAGGUGUGUCAUUAGACCAGGAAGUGUUCCACAGUAAGAAAGUAUAAUGUGUCUGCCCAUGACUGUUUUGUUUUCACCACUGAUUAAUUUCU
Molecule: long non-coding RNA, 562 nt
Filed under: Bos taurus (domestic cattle)
Lineage: Eukaryota; Metazoa; Chordata; Mammalia; Artiodactyla; Bovidae
Description: long non-coding RNA NONBTAT014828
Source: RNAcentral